Molecule: ribosomal RNA, 253 nt
Filed under: uncultured bacterium
Lineage: Bacteria
Description: partial 16S ribosomal RNA
Rfam family: Bacterial small subunit ribosomal RNA
Source: RNAcentral
CACGUAGGGUGCGAGCGUUGUCCGGAAUUAUUGGGCGUAAAGAGCUCGUAGGCGGUCUGUCGCGUCGGCUGUGAAAACUCGGGGCUCAACUCCGAGCUUGCAGUCGAUACGGGCAGGCUAGAGUUCGGCAGGGGAGACUGGAAUUCCUGGUGUAGCGGUGAAAUGCGCAGAUAUCAGGAGGAACACCGGUGGCGAAGGCGGGUCUCUGGGCAUUAACUGACGCUGAGGAGCGAAAGCAUGGGGAGCGAACAGG